GUCAGAAUUGAGUAUAGGGGCGAAAGACCAAUCGAACCAUCUAGUAGCUGGUUCCCUCCGAAGUUUCCCUCAGGAUAGCUGGUGCAUUAUAAUAUUAUGUUAAAUAAUCUUAUCUGGUAAAGCGAAUGAUUAGAGGCCUUAGGGUCGAAACGACCUUAACCUAUUCUCAAACUUUAAAUGGGUAAGAACCUCACCUUUCUUGAUAUGAAGGUUGAGGUUAUGAUAUAAUGUGCCCAGUGGGCCAAUUUUGGUAAGCAGAACUGGCGCUGUGGGAUGAACCAAACGUAAUGUUACGGUGCCUAAAUUAACAACUCAUGCAGAUACCAUGAAAGGCGUUGGUUGCUUAAAACAGCAGGACGGUGGACAUGGAAGUCGUAAUCCGCUAAGGAGUGUGUAACAACUCACCUGCCGAAGCAACUAGCCCUUAAAAUGGAUGGCGCUUAAGUUGUAUACCUAUACAUUACCGCUAAAGUAGAUGAUUUAUAAUACAAUUUCGAUUGAAUUAUAAAUUUUGAAACUUUAGUGAGUAGGAGGGUACAAUGGUGUGCUUAGAAGUGUUUGGCGUAAGCCUGCAUGGAGCCGCUAUUGGUACAGAUCUUGGUGGUAGUAGCAAAUAAUCGAAUGAGACCUUGGAGGACUGAAGUGGAGAAGGGUUUCGUGUGAACAGUGGUUGAUCACGAGUUAGUCGGUCCUAAGUUCAAGGCGAAAGCCGAAAAUUUUCAAGUUUUAAUGC
This 733-nucleotide ribosomal RNA is filed under the name Tephritis hyoscyami. RNAcentral's name for it is "partial large subunit ribosomal RNA". It matches the Rfam family "Eukaryotic large subunit ribosomal RNA", at positions 904 to 1588 of the family's 3401-position model. Lineage: Eukaryota; Metazoa; Arthropoda; Insecta; Diptera; Tephritidae. The record is from RNAcentral. RNAcentral also lists the same sequence under 2 other names.